Molecule: small RNA, 687 nt
Filed under: Arabidopsis thaliana (thale cress)
Lineage: Eukaryota; Viridiplantae; Streptophyta; Magnoliopsida; Brassicales; Brassicaceae
Description: ATSL149930
Source: RNAcentral
UGCGCACAUUAAUAUUGCAUGAUGGCUAAGUUUACUUUAGAGACAACUAAUAUGCAAAACGCAUUUAUUAAAAAACAAGACAUAACAAAAAAUCAGACACUCACUUAUAGCACUAAGCAUUAGUUCUUACUUAGGAGGUAAAAAACUGAAUUGCUCUUGUGCAGAACGGGCUCCAUUGUUGGCUAUCCUCAUAUUCUCAGUUUCAGUUAUCUCAACAGCGUCGUGUAUGGUGGACGCAAUUUAUGAGACAAACCUCUAAACAUCCGGUUCGGUUGUCCCUCCUUUGUAAAAAGUGUCGUUGAGACACUUGUCCCUCGCAGAAUUGUAACUCUUGUAAUAAAUAUAAAGUUCUGGGUCAUCAAUUGGGGUGAUUGGAUCACACUUGUCGUCGUGCGGAUCUAGGUCGCUUCCCGUAGGAUUAACUGGAGCCAGAUCCAAGGUGCUUCUCGCAGCUACAACUGGAGGAGGAACUUUCCUACUCGUGCACAGUAACCUACGAAGACUCAUGAUUCUCACGAUGUGGUUUCGUUUUCUUUAGAUUCUUUUGUGAUGAAGAUGAUACAGAAUGAUAGAGUUAGGAACCUCUACUAUAUAUAGUGCCACAUUUCUUUUGUAAUUUUAUAGUAUGAUUCAUUCUAUUUUUUUCUUAGUUACAUUGUUUAAAACUUAUUUACAAUUAUUUACCUU